UACGGAGGAUGCAAGCGUUAUCCGGAUUUAUUGGGUUUAAAGGGUGCGCAGGUUGUUUGACAAGUCAGUGGUGAAAGUCUGUCGCUUAACGGUAGGAUUGCCAUUGAUACUGUUAGACUUGAAUAUGGAUGAGGUAGGCGGAAUGUGUAGUGUAGCGGUGAAAUGCAUAGAUAUUACACAGAACACCGAUUGCGAAGGCAGCUUACUAAUCCAUCAUUGACGCUGAGGCACGAAAGCGUGGGGAUCAAACA
This 251-nucleotide ribosomal RNA is filed under the name uncultured prokaryote. Its description in RNAcentral is "partial 16S ribosomal RNA". It matches the Rfam family "Bacterial small subunit ribosomal RNA", at positions 524 to 774 of the family's 1533-position model. The record is from RNAcentral.